CGCCUCACCGCGUGCACUGGUUCGGCCGGGCCUUUCCCUCUGGGGAGCCCCAUGCCUUUCAUUAGGUGUGGUGGGGAACCAGGACUUUUACUGUGAAAAAAUUAGAGUGUUCAAAGCAGGCCUAUGCUCGAAUACAUCAGCAUGGAAUAAUAGAAUAGGACGUGUGGUUCUAUUUUGUUGGUUUCUAGGACCGCCGUAAUGAUUAAUAGGGACAGUCGGGGGUGUCAGUAUUCAAUUGUCAGAGGUGAAAUUCUUGGAUUUAUUGAAGACUAACUACUGCGAAAGCAUUCACCAAGGAUGUUUUCAUUAAUCAGGAACGAAAGUUAGGGGAUCGAAGACGAUUGCCGUGAGCCCGGGGGCUCUGGUGCACUGGUUAGCUAGUGUAUCUGGUCGUCGAUAAUUGGGCGCGGGCCCAGUUAGUCUAUAGAGCACUAUAGGCGACACCGUCAAAUUGCGGGGACCUCCUUAGAGCCUCUACCACACCUGCCAGCUAGAAAUAGCGCGCAGUCGUAACAGUGUAGGGGAUUGGACAAUCCGCAGCCAAAUCCGUACCCUGAGAGCGCUACCCGGAACUUCCGGGUGGCAUUCGGGCUAGGAUGCAGUUCACAGACUAGACGUCGGUGGGGGUUAACCCUUAAGAUAUAGUCGAGCCGCCUUAGAGAUAGGGCGUUCAGUUGCAGAUACCGUCGUAGUCUUAACCAUAAACUAUGCCGACUAGGGAUCGGGCGGUGUUAUUUUUUGACCCGCUCGGCACCUUACGAGAAAUCAAAGUCUUUGGG
This 779-nucleotide ribosomal RNA is filed under the name Muscodor sp. RNAcentral describes it as "partial 18S ribosomal RNA". It matches the Rfam family "Eukaryotic small subunit ribosomal RNA", at positions 662 to 1111 of the family's 1831-position model. The record is from RNAcentral. Lineage: Eukaryota; Fungi; Ascomycota; Sordariomycetes; Xylariales.